This 497-nucleotide ribosomal RNA is filed under the name uncultured bacterium. RNAcentral's name for it is "partial 16S ribosomal RNA". It matches the Rfam family "Bacterial small subunit ribosomal RNA", at positions 28 to 507 of the family's 1533-position model. The record is from RNAcentral.
GAUGAACGCUGGCGGCGUGCCUAACACAUGCAAGUCGAGCGAACAGACGAGGAGCUUGCUCCUCUUCCGUUAGCGACGGACGGGUGAGUAACACGUGGAUAACCUACCUAUAAGACUGGGAUAACUUCGGGAAAGCGGAGCCAGCACCGGAUAACAUGGUGAACAGCGUGGUUCAACAGUCAAAGACGGUUUUGCUGUCACUUAUUGAUGUAUCCGCGUCGCAUUAGCUAGUUGGUAAGGUAACGGCUUACCAAGGCAACGAUGGGUAGCCGACCUGAGAGGGUGAUCGGCCACACUGGAACUGAGACACGGUCCAGACUCCUACGGGAGGCAGCAGUAGGGAAUCUUCGGCAAUGGGCGAAAGCCUGACGGAGCAACGCCGCGUGAGUGAAGAAGGUCUUCGGAUCGUAAAACUCUUUUAUUGGGGAAGAACAAAUGUGUAAGAAACUAUGCACGUCUUGACGGUACCUAAUGAGAAAGCCACGGCUAACUACGUG